UGGGGAAUUUUGGACAAUGGGCGCAAGCCUGAUCCAGCCAUGCCGCGUGAGUGAAGAAGGCCUUCGGGUUGUAAAGCUCUUUCGGCCGGAACGAAAUCGUCCGGGCUAAUACCCCGGAUGGAUGACGGUACCGGAAGAAGAAGCACCGGCUAACUACGUGCCAGCAGCCGCGGUAAUACGUAGGGUGCAGGCGUUAAUCGGAAUUACUGGGCGUAAAGCGUGCGCAGGCGGCUACUCAAGUCAGAUGUGAAAUCCCCGGGCUUAACCUGGGAACUGCGUUUGAAACUGGGUGGCUAGAGUGCGGCAGAGGGGGGUGGAAUUCCACGUGUAGCAGUGAAAUGCGUAGAUAUGUGGAGGAACACCGAUGGCGAAGGCAGCCCCCUGGGCCUGCACUGACGCUCAUGCACGAAAGCGUGGGGAGCAA
RNAcentral lists this ribosomal RNA (424 nucleotides) under uncultured bacterium. RNAcentral's name for it is "bacterial SSU rRNA". It matches the Rfam family "Bacterial small subunit ribosomal RNA", at positions 355 to 771 of the family's 1533-position model. The record is from RNAcentral.